Transfer RNA from Trametes versicolor FP-101664 SS1, 91 nucleotides. It matches the Rfam family "tRNA". From Rfam's summary of the family: Transfer RNA (tRNA) molecules are approximately 80 nucleotides in length. Their secondary structure includes four short double-helical elements and three loops (D, anti-codon, and T loops). Further hydrogen bonds mediate the characteristic L-shaped molecular structure. tRNAs have two regions of fundamental functional importance: the anti-codon, which is responsible for specific mRNA codon recognition, and the 3' end, to which the tRNAs corresponding amino acid is attached (by aminoacyl-tRNA synthetases). tRNAs cope with the degeneracy of the genetic code in two manners: having more than one tRNA (with a specific anti-codon) for a particular amino acid; and 'wobble' base-pairing, i.e. permitting non-standard base-pairing at the 3rd anti-codon position. NCBI's taxonomy places the organism in Eukaryota, Fungi, Basidiomycota, Agaricomycetes, Polyporales, Polyporaceae. The record is from Rfam.
UGCCCCAUGGCUGAGUUGGUUACAGCGUCCGACUGUUACUUCUACUCGUAGUUUCAUCGGAAGGUCGUGAGUUCGAGCCUCACUGGGGCAG